UUUGAAGUGCUUGCACGGAAGAGGAAUUGGAUUCUAGAUUGAGUGGCGAACGGGUGAGUAACACGUUGGCAUCUGCCCCCAAGUCAGGGAUAGCCAUCCGAAAGGAUGAUUAAUACCGGAUAGUCUCUUCGGGGUAAAGAUUUAUUGCUUGGGGAGGAGCCUGCGGUCUAUCAGCUUGUUGGUGAGGUAAUAGCUCACCAAGGCUAUGACGGAUAACUGGUCUGAGAGGAUGACCAGUCACAAUGGGACUGAGACACGGCCCAUACUCCUACGGGAGGCAGCAGUGAGGAAUCUUCCACAAUGGACGAAAGUCUGAUGGAGCGACACCGCGUGAAGGAUGACGGUCUAACGAUUGUAAACUUCUUUUCUGAAGGAGCAUAAUGAGAGUACUUCAGGAAUAAGGGACGGCUAAUUACGUGCCAGCAGCCGCGGUAAUACGUAAGUCCCAAGCGUUACUCGAAAUUACUGGGUGUAAAGCGUUUGUAGGCGGAUUGAAAAGUUGGACAUGAAAGACCGAGGCUCAACCUCGUGUUUGUAUUCAAAACUCUCAAUCUAGAAUCAGGGAGAGGUAAGCGGAAUUCUAAGUGUAGGGGUGCAAUCCGUAGAUACUUAGAAGAACACCAAAAGCGAAGGCAGCUUACUGGAACUCG
This 650-nucleotide ribosomal RNA is filed under the name uncultured marine bacterium. RNAcentral's name for it is "bacterial SSU rRNA". It matches the Rfam family "Bacterial small subunit ribosomal RNA", at positions 49 to 738 of the family's 1533-position model. The record is from RNAcentral.